CAAAAUGGAUAAAAACAAGAAAAAAGAGUUACUUUCUGUCCUUUUGAAGAAACAUAACAAUUGCUACCAUCCACUGGUUUCUGUCCACAAUAAGAUUACACAAAACAUGUUAAACAUAUGCUUUAGGUCUUUUACAUUGACAGUCAUGUAUUAUUUUCAUAUUCCACAUUGCUAUGAUCAACUGAUUGUCUGAGGUCUUAUUAAAAUUAAGUGCAUUUCCUCUGGGAGUUAAUGUUCAGUAAUGAGUUGUUAAAAUCUUGCAUGUACUUUGGUUCACAUUAACUGAACAUACAGAUUCCCAAGUAGAAAGGUUUGAGGGUGACUUACCUGUCUUACAGUGUUUGAAUACAUCGCUCCUCUUCGAAUCAACCCAAAGAUGUGUCUGUAAACCCGACUGAAACUAAGCUUAAUACAUCCUCUCAAAGUGAGGGGGCAAAAUCCAGGAAUUUUGGAAAACAGACACGGAGCGCUGUAAAAGGUUUGACACUAGAAAUGAUAUCUAGGAUUCAAGGAUCACAACCUGGAAAGCUACCGGGGGCCAAAACCCCUCUUCUGGGGUAAUUUUCCUGGCGAAAUUAUGUAAAUGCAAAUAUUUAGGUACUACAAUGGAAUAAAUAGUCAUACAACUAUAAAAUUAGGGGGAGGCAUGAAAAAAGAUUCUGGGGCUUGUUGCAACUCUAAGAUAACUAAGAUAUCACCCUCAACAUCCCAAAAAAAGACAACAAAAAGUACUGUUCCCCUGACAAAUUCUCAUGAAAAUUAUUAUUUUUCAGCAUUUUAUGGAGAAUAUAUAUGCUUAAUAAUGUAUAUAGAAAUCUUCCUUAAUUCAUAAGCUUCCAUUUGAGUCCAAGAUAACCUUUCUACUAGCUACUGGAAAGCUACAGGCUGGCUCCAAACAAUGCAAACUGGCAUGACUAACUGACAUAACUGUUAACUGACAACAUUCUAUUUCUUGUCUCCCCAAAGUGAAUAAGCAGUGCACUUGGGUUUUUUUUUUCAAUUGCUUGCUGUUCAAAAGAGAUAAAUAUACUUUAAAUAUUAUUUCUUUAUACAAUAUUGAGAAUGUAUUUAUUAAUAUAAUUUACAGAAGGGCAAUAUUUGUUUGCCACCUAUGCUAAUUUUAGUUGUUCUGGCGUUUCAGCAAUUGAAAGAAUUGUAACUUGUACUAUAUUUUUCAUUUUAUCACUAUAUUUUUUAUCAUUGAUAAAAGGGAGUAUUUCAUGUGACAUACCAACCAUUUGUUGUUUGUGCAGUGCUGUGUGGGGUCACAUGUACACCUAUGCCACACCUACACUUUUGUGUGAAUUCGGCACAAGUAAAGAAUAGAGUGAGUAUUUUGAGAUGGAGGCUGCACUACAUGUGCUAUGUUAAAAAUAUUACUUUUUUUUAAAGAACAAUAUAUGCAAUUAUUCACAAUUGCAUCCACUACUUCAUAAAUACAAUGAUAUUGACCAA
Molecule: long non-coding RNA, 1455 nt
Organism: Acanthopagrus latus (yellowfin seabream)
Lineage: Eukaryota; Metazoa; Chordata; Actinopteri; Spariformes; Sparidae
Exons: 2
Source: RefSeq, a predicted model, not a curated record